This 454-nucleotide ribosomal RNA is filed under the name uncultured bacterium. Its description in RNAcentral is "partial 16S ribosomal RNA". It matches the Rfam family "Bacterial small subunit ribosomal RNA", at positions 28 to 507 of the family's 1533-position model. The record is from RNAcentral.
GAUGAACGCUGACAGAAUGCUUAACACAUGCAAGUCAACUUGAACUUCGGUUUGGGUGGCGGACGGGUGAGUAACGCGUAAAGAACUUGCCUCACAGCUAGGGACAACAUUUGGAAACGAAUGCUAAUACCUGAUAUUAUGAUUUUAGGGCAUCCUAGAAUUAUGAAAGCUAUAUGCGCUGUGAGAGAGCUUUGCGUCCCAUUAGCUAGUUGGAGAGGUAACGGCUCACCAAGGCGAUGAUGGGUAGCCGGCCUGAGAGGGUGAACGGCCACAAGGGGACUGAGACACGGCCCUUACUCCUACGGGAGGCAGCAGUGGGGAAUAUUAGACAAUGGACCAAGAGUCUGAUCCAGCAAUUCUGUGUGCACGAUGAAGUUUUUCGGAAUGUAAAGUGCUUUCAGUUGGGAAGAAAAAAAUGACGGUACCAACAGAAGAAGUGACGGCUAAAUACGUG